CCGAGUUUACAACUCCCAAACCCAAUGUGAACGUUACCAAACUGUUGCCUCGGCGGGAUCUCUGCCCCGGGUGCGUCGCAGCCCCGGACCAAGGCGCCCGCCGGAGGACCGACCAAAACUCUUAUUGUAUACCCCCUCGCGGGUUUUUUUUAUAAUCUGAGCCUUCUCGGCGCCUCUCGUAGGCGUUUCGAAAAUGAAUCA
This 201-nucleotide unclassified non-coding RNA is filed under the name soil metagenome. RNAcentral describes it as "partial internal transcribed spacer 1". The record is from RNAcentral.